GGGCCCGCACAAGCGGUGGAGCAUGUGGUUUAAUUCGACGCAACGCGCAGAACCUUACCAGCCCUUGACAUCCCGGUCGCGGACUCCAGAGACGGAGUUCUUCAGUUCGGCUGGACCGGAGACAGGUGCUGCAUGGCUGUCGUCAGCUCGUGUCGUGAGAUGUUGGGUUAAGUCCCGCAACGAGCGCAACCCCCGUCCUUAGUUGCUACCAUUUAGUUGAGCACUCUAAGGAGACUGCCGGUGAUAAGCCGCGAGGAAGGUGGGGAUGACGUCAAGUCCUCAUGGCCCUUACGGGCUGGGCUACACACGUGCUACAAUGGCGGUGACAAUGGGAAGCGAAGGGGCAACCCCUAGCAAAUCUCAAAAAGCCGUCUCAGUUCGGAUUGGGCUCUGCAACUCGAGCCCAUGAAGUUGGAAUCGCUAGUAAUCGUGGAUCAGCAUGCCACGGUGAAUACGUUCCCGGGCCUU
This 468-nucleotide ribosomal RNA is filed under the name uncultured bacterium. Its description in RNAcentral is "bacterial SSU rRNA". It matches the Rfam family "Bacterial small subunit ribosomal RNA", at positions 917 to 1382 of the family's 1533-position model. The record is from RNAcentral.